Molecule: long non-coding RNA, 1087 nt
Filed under: Felis catus (domestic cat)
Lineage: Eukaryota; Metazoa; Chordata; Mammalia; Carnivora; Felidae
Description: lncRNA (ENSFCAG00000050033.1)
Rfam family: tRNA (bases 965-1037)
Source: RNAcentral
AGUUUUCCUGGAGCAGGCGCUACGGCCCCACGCCCCUCAGACUCUUUCCUAUCAGACGCCGCAUGGGCGGGUCGGGGUCCCCCUGGCGGGCUGCUCGGGCGCUGCGCGAGCGGAGCCAAACUGCUCCCACCUGACACUGCGGACGCCCCCUCUGUCUACACCGCCUUAGGGCGUCUAACAGAUUUGUACCAAAUGUGGGUAAGGAUCACUUUAUGACUGCUGGCAAUCCAGGAGUUUCACAGUCAAAGGAACCUACUAGAUCCAGAAAGGGCAAAGGAUUGACAGUCGAGCACAUUCUGAUGAAUUGUACCCUUAGGGAAAAAAAGAAGAAAACCAAGAAGGCCUCUGAUACCAUCUAUGGGAAGGUCAGAAACCAUAAAUUUGUGAUAACAACUGUUUGUUCUUUUAUUCAAUAUAUUUCUCAUGAGUUCCUACUACUAGGAGCCAGGCUUUGUUCUGGGCCAACCGUCUGCACCAUUAAUGAUUUGGAUCCCACAGGGGGCAGAAAGUCACUGUAGACAAAGAAUAGCAACAGGAAAUGGUAAGUGCUGUAAAGAACAUAAAGCAGGGGAAGAGGCUGAGAGUGAUCCAGCGGAGGACCGUGGCUUUAUGUAGAGGUGUCAGUGAAGUCCUCUCUGGGAGCAGAUACUUGAGGGGAAUAUAUAAAGGGGAUAAGGCAGAGCCUUGACAAUAUGUGCAGCAGAGGCAGAUCAGGUUGAGGGGGCAGCAAAUGCAGGAAAACUCUGAGAUGGAAUAUUUUGGGUGUUUGGGGACCAACCAGAGGCCAGGAUGGCCAGGCAGAUGAGGGAGAGGGUGAAUGGUGACAGAUGAGAGAGGAGAGGAGUCUGGGACCGAGUGUCCAGGGCUCUGUAGGACUCAAGCUUCAGCUGCAAAUCACACCAUUUAAAGUUGUACCCUUAUCUCCUAUAACAAGCACAACGAUAGAAAUUGUGACUUGAGGGGCUCUUGACUGGCUCAAUCAGUGGAGCAUGUGACUCUUGAUCUCAGGGUCAUGAGUUCAAGUCCCAUGUUGGGUGUGGAGCCUACUAAAAAUAAAUAAAUAUAUAUAUAUAUUAUAUAUAUAUAU